Molecule: long non-coding RNA, 298 nt
Filed under: Homo sapiens (human)
Lineage: Eukaryota; Metazoa; Chordata; Mammalia; Primates; Hominidae
Description: non-protein coding lnc-PRMT6-2:3
Source: RNAcentral
UGAUGUUCCAACAUAUCAAGUUCAUGAAGGGACAUAAUUAUGCUGUUAUGUGAAAGAAUCAACUCUGUGUGCUCAGCAGACCAUCCAGACACAUCCUAAGCAUUGUGUCUCCGAAGUAGAUCAGUUUAGCUGUGACAUCCUAUAGCAGUAUCUCUAUUAUGUGUCCUGUUCUAUUCAUCAGCAUCUCAACCGAAAAGACACACCCUGGUAAAUGUGACAGUUCCUUUUGGAGAAUGCAGGGAGAAAGACAGAAGAUAUACAUGUUUGACUGUGUGGGCAAGGUCCUUCCUCAAAGAGA